Molecule: ribosomal RNA, 729 nt
Filed under: uncultured bacterium
Lineage: Bacteria
Description: bacterial SSU rRNA
Rfam family: Bacterial small subunit ribosomal RNA
Source: RNAcentral
AACAGGAUUAGAUACCCUGGUAAUCCACGCCGUAAACGAUGUCGACUAGCCGUUGGGCUCCUUGAGAGCUUUGUGGCGCAGUUAACGCGAUAAGUCGACCGCCUGGGGAGUACGGCCGCAAGGUUAAAACUCAAAUGAAUUGACGGGGGCCUGCACAAGCGGUGGAGCAUGUGGUUUAAUUCGAUUCAACGCGAAGAACCUUACCUACCCUUGACAUCGUGCGGACUUGGUAGAGAUGCCUUGGUGCCUUCGGGAACGCACAGACAGGUGCUGCAUGGCUGUCGUCAGCUCGUGUUGUGAAAUGUUGGGUUAAGUCCCGUAACGAGCGCAACCCUUGUCCUUAUUUGCCAGCGAGUCAUGUCGGGAACUCUAAGGAGACUGCCGGUGACAAACCGGAGGAAGGUGGGGACGACGUCAAGUCAUCAUGGCCCUUACGGGUAGGGCUACACACGUGCUACAAUGGCCGGUACAAAGGGUUGCGAAGCCGCGAGGUGGAGCUAAUCCCGAAAAGCUGGUCUCAGUCCGGAUCGGAGUCUGCAACUCGACUCCGUGAAGUCGGAAUCGCUAGUAAUCGUGAAUCAGAAUGUCACGGUGAAUACGUUCCCGGGCCUUGUACACACCGCCCGUCACACCAUGGGAGUGGACUGCACCAGAAGUGGUUAGCCUAACCUCGGAGGGCGAUCACCACGGUGUGGUUCAUGACUGGGGUGAAGUCGUAACAAGGUAACC